RNAcentral lists this ribosomal RNA (490 nucleotides) under uncultured bacterium. RNAcentral describes it as "partial 16S ribosomal RNA". It matches the Rfam family "Bacterial small subunit ribosomal RNA", at positions 30 to 507 of the family's 1533-position model. The record is from RNAcentral.
UGAACGCUGGCGGUAGGCCUAACACAUGCAAGUCGAACGGCAGCACAGUAAGAGCUUGCUCUUACGGGUGGCGAGUGGCGGACGGGUGAGGAACACAUCGGAAUCUACUUUUUCGUGGGGGAUAACGUAGGGAAACUUACGCUAAUACCGCAUACGACCUACGGGUGAAAGCAGGGGAUCUUCGGACCUUGCGCGAUUGAAUGAGCCGAUGUCGGAUUAGCUAGUUGGCGGGGUAAAGGCCCACCAAGGCGACGAUCCGUAGCUGGUCUGAGAGGAUGAUCAGCCACACUGGAACUGAGACACGGUCCAGACUCCUACGGGAGGCAGCAGUGGGGAAUAUUGGACAAUGGGCGCAAGCCUGAUCCAGCCAUACCGCGUGGGUGAAGAAGGCCUUCGGGUUGUAAAGCCCUUUUGUUGGGAAAGAAAAGCAGCAGGUUAAUACCCCGCUGUUCUGACGGUACCCAAAGAAUAAGCACCGGCUAACUUCGUG